Long non-coding RNA from Bombus terrestris (buff-tailed bumblebee), 1274 nucleotides. RefSeq lists it as uncharacterized. The transcript has 2 exons. Lineage: Eukaryota; Metazoa; Arthropoda; Insecta; Hymenoptera; Apidae. The record is from RefSeq and is a predicted model, not a curated record.
AUUUCUCCCCACCAUUGACCAUUGGUGUAUUCCGGCACGCGGUUCACACUGUUAUCCACUGCUCCAUACAAACUCACUGUACAUGUACAUUUGAAUGUAGCGUGCAUGUUGUAAAUGUCGAGGCGCCGUCGAUAACCUCCUUCCCCUCGAAAGAGUGCUCUCGCGCACGUGCACGGUCACAAGCGCGAAUACCUGUGUGCGCCCUGGGAAUCGAACGAACGGAAUUUUCGAUGGAACGCGGAGUUCGCCUGGUAUCGGCCACCGUUCUUAGCCGUAUUCUCGCCGCUGUAUUAUUCACAGAGAAUGUUUCUUCAGAGAUUAAGCCACUAUAAUCGGAUAUACGAUACAGUGAGGUUCUGUUUGGAAUUAAUUUCUUAUUGUUCGUUUAUCAAAUUCGUUUUGUAUACAUACGUGAUAACAAGUAUAUUAUUAUAGUUGAUACUAAGUAUUGAAGGUUAAUUGUUAUAGUUGCUACAGUGGUUGGUGCAAUCAUGACAACGAAGUGUGACAAUGUAUCGAUCUUGAAAAUUUGAUAUAGUAUUUAUUCUUUUCUUUCUGGCAGCAUUUGAAUCAUUGUAGCAAUUCGAAUUCCAAAAGUAAUGCAAAGGAACGAUAUCUAUUACCAUUUAACAAACUGUUUGCCAUAGAAGUUACCAAUGAUCACUUUUAGAUUUAUCGAUGCUGUUAUGGAAGAUAUAGUGACCAACACUAACGAAAUUAAUUAGAAUACUUGAAUAAAAGGGACAGUCACAAAUAUAUUCGUUCCUCGCAAAAAUUUGUAAUAAUUUUAAUAUUGAAAUAACAGUAUAAAAUUACUUAAUGCACCAGGAAGUGUUCACAAAAUGAAGCGUGUACUCAAUUUAAAAUUACCCGACAGUCAACGUGUUAUGCAAUAAAUGAUUUGCUACUAUUUUUGUGAAAUAUAAAAUAUGUUAAUUUGAGAGUAACGAUAAUGACAGAAGAUAUAACUUUAUCGAGCAAUAAGAUUCUAUUGUAUUAUAAGAUUAUAUUAUUCAAAAUUGUAUAUGGAUUUCAAGAAAUUGCAACACUUAUUCCAAUGCCGCUGGCGCGCUUGGUGAAAGCCAGCCACGUCACAGUUGCUAACCUAAAGGUGACGUAGAGAUCGUUGGGGAUGACGAUAGUAUUCCAGUCAUUGGUAGUUUCCCAUUUCAUUGAUGCCGUGCUCCCUGUUAUUAUAACUUCCUGCUGUGCAGUUGCAUGGGUCCACCAUUCAUGUUGUUUGUCUUCCAUUGAAUUGCCAGUAGAUAGCUUUC